GACGAACGCUGGCGGCGUGCUUAACACAUGCAAGUCGAACGGGAUCCGGGCGUUCGGGUUUGGUGAGCGUGGCGAACGGGUGAGUAACACGUGAGUAACCUGCCCCCUUCUUUGGGAUAACGUCGGGAAAACGGCGCUAAUACUGGAUAUUCUUGCUGCAUCGCCUGGUGUGGUUUGGAAAGGGUUUCUGGUGGGGGAUGGGCUGGCGGCCUAUCAGCUUGUUGGUGGGGUGAUGGCCUACCAAGGCUUUGACGGGUAGCCGGCCUGGGAGGGUGUCCGGCAACACGGGAACGGAGACACGGCGCAGACUACUACGGGAAGCAGCAGAGGGGAAUAAGGAACGAGGAGCGUAAGCCAAAGGCAGCGAGGCCGCGGGAGGGAUGACGGGCGUGGGGUGGUAAACCUCUGGCAGUAUGGAACAAGGAUCCUUGUUGUGGGGGGUGUGAGGGUACGUGCAGAAGAAGCGCCGGCUAACUACGUG
This 481-nucleotide ribosomal RNA is filed under the name uncultured bacterium. Its description in RNAcentral is "partial 16S ribosomal RNA". It matches the Rfam family "Bacterial small subunit ribosomal RNA", at positions 28 to 507 of the family's 1533-position model. The record is from RNAcentral.